AGUCGACGGAGACAGUAGCAAUAUUGUCUUAGUGGCGAACGGGUGAGUAACGCGUUGGUGACCUGCCUCGAAGAGAGGGGUAACAGUUCGAAAGGAUUGCUAAUACCUCAUGUGGUUGCUUGGGUUAGAGACCUUGCAACUAAACGGAUUUAUUCGCUUCGAGAGGGGCCUGCGUCCCAUCAGCUAGUUGGUAGGGUAAUGGCCUACCAAGGCGAUGACGGGUAGGGGACCUGAGAGGGUGGCCCCCCACAAUGGAACUGAAACACGGUCCAUACACCUACGGGUGGCAGCAGUAGGGAAUAUUGGUUAAUCUGGGAAACCGGGAACCAGCAACGCCGCGUGCGCGAUGAAGGCCUUCGGGUUGUAAAGCGCUUUUAGAGAGGAUGAGGAAGGACAGUACUCUCUGAAUAAGCCUCGGCUAACUACGUGCCAGCAGCCGCGGUAAAACGUAGGAGGCGAGCGUUAUCCGGAUUUACUGGGCGUAAAGCGCGUGUAGGCGGUUUGAUAAGUUGGAUGUGAAAGCUCCUGGCUUA
This 533-nucleotide ribosomal RNA is filed under the name uncultured bacterium. Its description in RNAcentral is "bacterial SSU rRNA". It matches the Rfam family "Bacterial small subunit ribosomal RNA", at positions 60 to 611 of the family's 1533-position model. The record is from RNAcentral.